CCCCUUGCCUCGCCCGUCCAUCCGUCCCGCGGAAUAAAUGAGGGUCUUAAAUGAACUGGGUCUGUAACCAGAAGUCUGCAGGCUGAGCUUCUCCCAGGACUGGAAGGAGAGAUGGAUAGGAUGAAAAAGAGACUGAGAGCAGGCCGGGCCGGAAGAGAAGGAAAUUGAAGCUGGUGGAAGAGUAUGAACUGAACGUAAUAAAAGGCAGCAACAUUCAGGGUUUUUUUUCCUCUUCUUUUUCUACGAUUAACAUGAGCCCCUAUCUGGAGAGAUUCCUUUUAAAUCGUUCAGCAUGUCACCUGACAGCUAGUGUUGGUUUCUGAACUGAUUGUCAGCCUCAAUAAAGACAGAGGUCUCCCAGGCCAGCUGUCUUGCAUCUCU
This is a long non-coding RNA of Anguilla anguilla (European eel), 381 nucleotides long. RefSeq lists it as uncharacterized. The transcript has 3 exons. Lineage: Eukaryota; Metazoa; Chordata; Actinopteri; Anguilliformes; Anguillidae. The record is from RefSeq and is a predicted model, not a curated record.